Molecule: non-coding RNA, 553 nt
Organism: Thamnophis sirtalis
Lineage: Eukaryota; Metazoa; Chordata; Lepidosauria; Squamata; Natricidae
Source: RefSeq, a predicted model, not a curated record
GAGGCUGGAAGGCGGCAGCGGGGGCGCCCCUUGUGCCGCUUGCUUCUCGGAGCGCUGUGCGCGGCUUCUUCGCCCGAGUCGCUCCGGCCGUCCUUCCGCCCUGACUCAGAGGCCGCUAAAGGAGGAGGUCCGAGCCGGGAGCCCCCCACCCCACCGUCCAUGCCUCUCCAAGCCGGCUAUGUCUCAACAAAGAGGUGAUGGGAGGAUCCGGCAUGGCAUGGCCAGAGAUAAAUGUCGCUUAUAUUUUUAAUUCUGCUCAACCCGAAGUUCAAAGCAUAAAUGCUUGGAAAUCAAACCUGCUGUAGUAAGGCUGGUGACUAUCCAACUUGGCAAGCAGGUGACUUACAUAAAGGAACACUCUCCACACAAAGCAAAAUUGAAACACCGAAAGUCAAUUUCAAAAUGAAGCAAAAAUCAAGAACACCGCCGGCAUUAGCUCAAACUGACAAGAGGGAAGUUCAAAAGAAAAAGUAGUUGGAGCUUCAAACCAACUUCCAGCAAAAGUAGAGGUCAAUCAUUAGUAACUGAGUUUAAACAUGCUUGAGACAAACAC